Molecule: ribosomal RNA, 490 nt
Filed under: uncultured bacterium
Lineage: Bacteria
Description: partial 16S ribosomal RNA
Rfam family: Bacterial small subunit ribosomal RNA
Source: RNAcentral
AUUGAACGCUGGCGGCAGGCCUAACACAUGCAAGUCGAACGGUAACAGGAAGCAGCUUGCUGCUUCGCUGACGAGUGGCGGACGGGUGAGUAAUGUCUGGGAAGCUGCCUGAUGGAGUGGGAUAACUACUGGAAACGGUAGCUAAUACCGCAUAAUGUCGCAAGACCAAAGAGGGGGACCUUCGGGCCUCUUGCCAUCGGAUGUGCCCAGAUGGGAUUAGCUUGUUGGUGGGGUAACGGCUCACCAAGGCGACGAUCCCUAGCUGGUCUGAGAGGAUGACCAGCCACACUGGAACUGAGACACGGUCCAGACUCCUACGGGAGGCAGCAGUGGGGAAUAUUGCACAAUGGGCGCAAGCCUGAUGCAGCCAUGCCGCGUGUAUGAAGAAGGCCUUCGGGUUAUAAAGUACUUUCAGCGGGGAGGAAGGGAGUAAAGUUAAUACCUUUGCUCAUUGACGUUACCCGCAGAAGAAGCACCGGCUAACUCCGUG